UUACCUCGGGUUAAGAACUUUGAUUCAGGAUGAGAACAGAAAUCAUGCGGUGGCGGUGCAGCGGCAGCCGGAGGCCCCAUUAGCUAAAGUGGUACCUCAGGUUAAGAACAGUUUCAGUUUAAGAACAGACCUCCGGAACAAAUUAAGUUCUUAACCCGAGUUACCACUGUACCUGGAAUGUUAAGUCUUAUGGUUUGGCUGGAAGGCUGUAAUGCAGCACUGGAUUUAGGGUGGAGCGGGUGGUUCCUCUGCACAGGGUGCUGAGCCGAGGGGGUGCAAAAUCGAGAAGAUUCAUAAUUGAGAAGAUUCAUUUGGGGAUGCCAAAAUUUUGGCCUCUUACAGGGCACCGAAAGAUUACCAAAGUCUGUCCCUGCUGCAAUGACUGGGGUAGAAAUAUCUGGGAAAAGUGGGAACUGAUUCACCAGAAAUGUUCAUGGGAUAGUGAUUUGAACAAGCUGUUAAGUCCUGCAGCUGUUCUGCGCCUGACACAUCUUGGGAAAUGACAUUAGACGUUUCCAUCUCUGUGCAAAGCCACCUGUUCCCUCCACCCCCGAUCUCUCUGCAUUAGCUGUUUUUCUCUCUGUUUUUCUAACCAUAUUAUAUUUAAUAAAGUUAUCUUUCACAUAA
Long non-coding RNA from Podarcis raffonei (Aeolian wall lizard), 627 nucleotides. RefSeq lists it as uncharacterized. Lineage: Eukaryota; Metazoa; Chordata; Lepidosauria; Squamata; Lacertidae. The transcript has 2 exons. The record is from RefSeq and is a predicted model, not a curated record.